Molecule: ribosomal RNA, 160 nt
Filed under: uncultured Spirochaetota bacterium
Lineage: Bacteria; Pseudomonadati; Spirochaetota
Description: uncultured Spirochaetes bacterium partial 16S ribosomal RNA
Rfam family: Bacterial small subunit ribosomal RNA
Source: RNAcentral
CUAAGAAUAUUCCGCAAUGGACGAAAGUCUGACGGAGCGACGCCGCGUGGAUGAUGAAGGCCGAAAGGUUGUAAAGUCCUUUCGCUGGGGAAGAAUAAGUGUGGGAGGGAAUGCCCGCAUGAUGACAUGAACCGGCGAAUAAGCCCCGGCCAACUACGUG